ACCGCUGAACCGUCCGAAAACCGGUCGAUCGGGCCGGAUUGGGACCCGGCCGAUUCUCAUCAAACAAUGUCAUUUCGCGUAAAAACCAAACAGAAGCACGCGUGAAGCCAGCAGUCAAGCCACAACCAACCCUUUCUUCAAUUCUUCCAUCUCCCUCCUCUCCAAAGAAACAGAAACCCUAGCCUCACCGCCGCAAGCUACAAGAAGUGAGCCACCACCGCAGUCCGUUGCAGUCAAGGGCAGGUGUAAAGCACAGAAGCCUCGCCUCCUAACCCUAGAGCUCCUUCUCUGAUUUCUUUUAUCUCCUUCCUUCUCCCCAAACAAAAACGAAAACCCUAGCCUCGUCGCCGUCUGUCGCAGUCAGGGGAUCGUCUCUUCAUUCCGUUGACGUCCUCCAAAGAAGAACCCCUGUUGGCUCUCAGUCUUCGUUCUCUACUGUCGACGUUGUCUGCUCACAAUCAUCCUUCAAAGCUCUGAAGAUUUCUGGAGGCAUUGGAUGAAGCCGAUAGAGACGCUGAAGAGAAGACCCAAUUGGAAGACAAAUACUGCUCUUGCUGCAAUUCUCGCUUGGAAGAAUUGGAUAGCACGGAACCUUAAAAUCUUUGAAGCCAAGGACUCCUCUAUUGAUGUGCUCUAUUCAUCUGUUGUGGAACUCCUUGAAGAAUUUGGGUAGAGAAAGGAAAGGUAGCAUUUGACUGGAUUUGAUGGAGUAUCCACAGAAAAAGAGAAGAAGGCGAAUGAUGCUGUCAACCCUGAACUCUCUGCACUCAAACUUGAAUAACUCGAGCUACAUAGGUCCAAUGGAUGUGAUUUUAGUGGCAUUGGAAAGCUAACUUCCAGAGCUUUCCAACGAUAUAUAAUAGUUCAUACUUCUCUUCCAUCAACUCUGUCAAGGCUGCGCCUAACUUGAGAAAUCUCAAGUUAUGCGCAAGACACAACAACAACACACAAGUUAUGGCGACUCAUGGCGAGUUAGGCGCAAAGGAAACCAAGUUAGGCACCAUGGAAGCUUGUACUCUCGGGAGGGUACAAGUAAGGCGCAGCAAAAAAGGCCCCUUAAACCAAGUAAGGUGCAACUUCCACCCCUCAAUCCAAGUAAGGUGCAGCAUUGAAGGGCAAGAUCAAGUUAGGCAUGGUCCACCCAUGAAUCUAGCAAGUAAGGCGUGCUCUUCAGUUGAAGUUAGGCGCCUUGCGCCUUGUGUGGUGAACAGCAUGAAGUUAGGCGUGGAUCCUAGUGAAGCCAAGUGGUCCCCAUGUUACAUGAAUGAUUAGAAUAGGAACAGGAGCAAUUAAGAAGAAUUUUUGACACCCUGUUUUCAGAUUUUCUUUGCUUGAGGACAAGCAAACUUUUAAGUUCGGUAUUGUCGCUUCGCUUUUGGCCUUUUCUGUUUAUUUUAAUAGCACCAAAGGGAGAUGAAUGUUCUUCAUGGAGGAAUGAGAUGGCCACCAGCAUAACUGAGGUGGUUGAGUUCCUUUCAUUCUAUUUCUCUUUCGUUCUUAUUUUGUUGUCUUCUGUUUUCUGUUGCUUUGAUUACCUGCAUAAUCUUUAGUACAUUUAGUUCUUAGAUUUAGUUUCAUUCUGUCAUUUUCUUUUGGUUAAAAUUUUUUUUCCUCAUGCAUUGCUCACUAAGCUUGAAUUCAAAAGAAAAAGAAGUGAUGUAUUGCAUGAGAAAUUGAGUUUAUAUUUAAGAGUAGUUUUAUUUACUUAAAUGUGAUGGCAUUAUUUGUGAUUUUGAAAUGCAUGAUAUGAACAGUGCAUAUUUGAAUUUGAAUCAAAUGAUGUUGAUGUAUAAGGAACAAGCAUUUAGAGAACUAUUAUGACUUCUCUAAAAUUAGUGAAAGCUUAAUCCUUGAAGCAAAAGAAACAGCAAAAGAAAAAUAAAAGCAAGGUUCAAGGCUCUGAGUAUCAAUGACUAAGGAGGUCAAACAUGAUUAAAAGCUCAAAGAGUUGUUUUCUUAGUCAUAUGCUUGUGGUGUUCUUGUGUCAAGUAAUUCUUGAGACAGAAUAUUUAGAGUCAAGACCAAAUGCAUUUAGUAGAGUAUGUCCAAGGCUUUGAGCACCACUGUCUCGGAGUAAGUGAAGAAAAAAUCCAAACUUAAAGAGAGUUCCCCAAUUAAGUGCUUGUGGUGUUUUUGUGUCAAGUAACCCUUGAGACAAAACAUUUAAAGUCACGACUAGGUUCAAGGUGCAAGUGAUGCGUGAGCAUCUUUCCUAUCUUUUCCUAGUGAAAUUGCAUGUAAUUUGUGAGUUUAAUUAAGAAUUAAUUAUAUUUUAGCCACUAUGGAUGCUAUUUUGAGUUUUGUGCAAUUUUAUUUAUUUUAGGUAGCAUUCGGAUGGAUUUGAUGAAGUUUCUGCAGAGAAAGAGAAGAAACCAAGGAGAUGGCAGCGAGGAGCGACGCGCAUGCGUGACUGACGCGUACGCGUGAUCUGGAAGUGUCCAUGGCGACGCGUACGCGUGACUGACGCGUACGCGUGAAUUGAAGAUUUGCUCAGCGACGCGUCUGCGUGACUCGAAGAAAAGACCAUCAACGCGUCCGCAUGACUGACGCGUACGCAUGACAUGCGCCACGUGCAGAAAACGCAAAAAAAUGCUGGGAGCGAUUUCUGGGUUGUUUUAACCCAGUUUUCAGCCUAGAAAA
Long non-coding RNA from Arachis duranensis, 2640 nucleotides. RefSeq lists it as uncharacterized. The record is from RefSeq and is a predicted model, not a curated record. The transcript has 4 exons. NCBI's taxonomy places the organism in Eukaryota, Viridiplantae, Streptophyta, Magnoliopsida, Fabales, Fabaceae.